Molecule: non-coding RNA, 27 nt
Filed under: Bombyx mori (domestic silkworm)
Lineage: Eukaryota; Metazoa; Arthropoda; Insecta; Lepidoptera; Bombycidae
Source: RNAcentral
GGCUGCGAUGGUGGUGUAAUGGUCAGC